CCGAGAACCGGCGCCCUCGUGGCCCGACCCUCAAACCACCGCGUACCGAACUUCAACGUUGCCUCGGCGGGGCCCCCGUUCACGCGGGAGCGCCGCCGCAGGACGCAACCAAAACCGUUUUGUGAGACGAACGUCUGAUAACCUUCUUCGCGAAUGCGAUAAAGUA
This 166-nucleotide unclassified non-coding RNA is filed under the name uncultured Sordariomycetes. RNAcentral's name for it is "sequence contains ITS1". The record is from RNAcentral. Lineage: Eukaryota; Fungi; Ascomycota; Sordariomycetes.